CAUGCCAUUGUCAAUUCUAAUGAUUUCCUCAUCCUCUGUCGACCCUGCGUACUUGUUUCCUUGUGUGUUUUGAAUGAAUUGUCGUUCAGUUCUGCGCGUCAAACUCAUUUCCUCCCUGUACAUUCGAUAUUCUGUGAACAAUUCGAUUUUCUUUUCACUUCCACAUGACAUGUAGAUCGAAGUAGUUAACUCAAAAAGAGAGGGACACUGCAUUCUACCACUCUUUCAUUUCCUCCCUGUACAUUCCAUACUCUGUGAAGAAGACCAAACGUCAGUUUAAGAAAGUUUUCCAUGAAUGAUCACGAACUGUUGAUUAAAACUGACCUCAACAGUUUAGGUUCAUUUAUUUACUAGAUUUUGCACUGAAUAAAUAUUAAUUUCUAUGCCUCUGUUCCUGUACUUCCACGUAUCUUAUCUUUAUUUACUUCUCUUAUUUUGUGAGGCUACUUCCCCCCCCCCACACACACACACAUUUUCUUCUGCAAAAGAGAAUUUUUCGCCUUCUGUUUUUACAUGUUCUUGUACGCGUUUUACUCAUCGCUGAGAUUCCUGUUAUUUAUUCCCAUGUCCGUAUUUUGAUUAAUUAAAGAUUUCAUUUUAUUUUAUUGGGUGUCUAGCCAUUAAUAAGACCUCACAAUUUCUUAAUCCCGUUUCUGUUUCUUUCUUUCUUUAUUAAGAUGUUCUUAAAUAAGCAAUUCAUUUUUUUUUUGUUUAGGUAAUACUGCGGCUACCUGCAUGAGGGACGGACGUCUGUUAUGCAUGUUACAAAUUCAUGAAACCAAUAUUCAGCGAUCCGACCGCUGCGCCGCCAGUUUCCCUGUAAUACUGCGGCUACCUGCAUGAGGGACGGACGUCUGUUAUGCAUGUUACAAAUUCAUGAAACCAAUAUUCAGCGAUCCGACCGCUGCGCCGCCAGUUUCCCUGUAAUACUGCGGCUACCUGCAUGAGGGACGGACGUCUGUUAUGCAUGUUACAAAUUCAUGAAACCAAUAUUCAGCGAUCCGACCGCUGCGCCGCCAGUUUCCCUGUAAUACUGCGGCUACCUGCAUGAGGGACGGACGUCUGUUAUGCAUGUUACAAAUUCAUGAAACCAAUAUUCAGCGAUCCGACCGCUGCGCCGCCAGUUUCCCUGUAAUACUGCGGCUACCUGCAUGAGGGACGGACGUCUGUUAUGCAUGUUACAAAUUCAUGAAACCAAUAUUCAGCGAUCCGACCGCUGCGCCGCCAGUUUCCCUGUAAUACUGCGGCUACCUGCAUGAGGGACGGACGUCUGUUAUGCAUGUUACAAAUUCAUGAAACCAAUAUUCAGCGAUCCGACCGCUGCGCCGCCAGUUUCCCUGUAAGAUUUCUUUUUAUUUAAUUAAAAUUUUCGUAACAUACAUGAAUGAAUUCCAUCGGAUAUUUUUUAGGAUAAUUCAUUUCGGUUCAUAUUUUUUUUUAAUUUAAAUUUUCGUUACAUACCUGAUUAGGUUUCAUCACAGUUUUUUGCUUAUAAUUUUUGUUUAACACCUAACACUUCUUUUGAGUAUCAUUUUCUUUUUCAUAACUAA
This is a long non-coding RNA of Stegodyphus dumicola, 1550 nucleotides long. The record is from RefSeq and is a predicted model, not a curated record. Lineage: Eukaryota; Metazoa; Arthropoda; Arachnida; Araneae; Eresidae.